Molecule: long non-coding RNA, 9235 nt
Organism: Alligator mississippiensis (American alligator)
Lineage: Eukaryota; Metazoa; Chordata; Crocodylia; Alligatoridae
Exons: 7
Source: RefSeq, a predicted model, not a curated record
GUGUGUCAGGCUGUGGGGAGCGACGUCCCGAGCCACGUGGGUGCUGCGUGGCUCGUAGUUCUUGUCAAGCACCGGUGACCCGCGGGGUGGGCAGCGGCUGGGCUUGCAGGUUUCCGUUCCUUCCCUUAAGACGCCAUUUGGGGGGCAGUGGGCGAGGUCCCCGGCCUCGGCCGCAGCUUUCCCUUAAGGCUGUCAUUCGGGGGGCGGAGGCUCAGGUCCGUAGCCAGCUCCGCUGCCCCCUUGAGGCAUCAUUUGGGGGAGCGGUGGGCAGGGGCGGUUUGUCUCUGCCCGCGGUCCUCCCUUAAGACGUCACUGGGGUCCGCAGCGGGGAGGGCCGGAGGGCCCCCGCAGUCCUCCCUGAUGGUGUCAUUUGCAGGGGGCAGCGGCCAGGUCCGUAGGCCCCCGCUGUCCUCCCUUAAGUUACCGUUCGGGUUGGCAGCGGGUCUGGUCUGAACCCCUGUAGUUCUCACUUAAGGCCUUUCGGGGGGGGCCGCGGGCCAGGUCCCUAGGGCUUGGCCCGCGGCCCCUCCUUAAGGCGUCACUUGGGGCUGCAGUGGGCAAAGGCCUGGAGGUCGCCGCUGUCUGCUCUCGGGGUCAUCUUGCCGAGCUGCGGUGUGGUGCUGCCCUGCUUGCAAACGGGUCAAGCACUGACAGCCUUUUCACACCCCCAAGCCCGAGCUACGGUGUGGUGCUGCCUAGCUCUGUGGGCGGUCAAGCACUGGUGGUCACUUGAGGUUCUUGUGCCCUCUCAAGGCCAUCCCAUGGGGAAGCACGAGCACAUGGGGUGCCGCCAAAGACAACCAGCAGAGAAGACAACACAAAAGCAGGUGUGAGCUGGCCUGCUAUUUAAUGGACAAAUAAAAUUGAUCUGCCAGGCACCUUCUUGGUGCCUGGUGCCUUUCACCUCCAAGUUCCUGCUCCCCCUCUGCGCUGUUUCUCUUCUCUCCUGUCCUGUUCUUUCACAUCCAAGUUUCCCCGCCCGCUGCCCCCUUUCAUUUCUGCAGUGGUUCCCUUGCAACCACUGCGUGCUGAGGGCCUCCGGGCUGGCCACCCAGGAUGCUGAAUCCCUUGCUGAAAGGGAUUGGUGGCAGAUGUCGCUUGACUUGGCUCUCCGGGAGUCGAGUGUUGGAGACUGGCCUGGCCACCUGAGGCUGCAGCCCUGAAUCCUGCAAAGCAGGUCCCCUUUGGGGGUCUGCACGUCAUCCCCAGAAGGACAAGCAGACAAGAUGGCAGAUAGGUCGGAGCGAGCUGACCGGGAAGGCGGAAAACGAGGCCAGCCUAACAGGAGGCACAGGCCUCGGGAGAACCAGAAGGAGAAGCAGCGGGGAAGAGGCGAGGUAGGAGAAAAGCCAGGCAUAGAAACAGGGUGAGAAGGAAAGGGACUCUGGACAGAGUGACCUCCCUGCCUUUAGGUCUCAGUCAUGUCUUAGCCAAAUUUUGGCUGCGUGAGCCUUUGGGCGAGCUCUCUGUAACUCAGAGAUGGAUCUCUGCCCUUGAAGCUGUUACACUUCUGUAGCAGUCAGGUGGAAGGUGGACAACCCUGUAAGCAAGGUGUGUGUCACCGCUACCUCGUUUGUAAAUCCAUGGAUCUGGCUGGUGGUCUUGUGCGGAGCAGCCGCCCUGUAAUCGGGGUGCAGGCCAGCUGCCAAACAUGACUGCCAAUGCUGCAGCCUCCUAUAAGCAGGGUGAGUGCUGCCUCCUAACAUGCGAGGACAGGCGAUAUGAACGUGUGUAGCGCUGGACAUCCCGUAAUUGGGAGUCCAAGUCCAUUGCUAUUGCUAGCCAGUUGGGAGAGGUGCCCCUGUAAGCAGGGUGGGCGUAGCCACCUACCGCUGGCUGGAGAGAGACGGAGCAGCCUGCCGCAUUGUGCAGCAGGACAGCCUUGCAGACAGGAGCCGGGUCUCGUUGGUGACAGCAAACUUUUUAGACCCCGGAGCCUGAUGACCUUCCCGUGGCUGGGUUGAAGCCUGUGGCCUCCUCCACCUUUCCCUGUGUCCAGGCAUCUGUCCCUUGUCCUGCAUCAGUGCCUGGUACUCCAUGUCCGGACCCCUGGACUGCCCUGUAACGAGGGUGUGAGUCCCGCGUCUCUUGGUGGAGGACUAGGUCAUGCAAAGCAGUGGACCACCAUGUAAGCAGGGUCUGGGCAUCCAUGUGCCUUUGGUGAGAGAUCUUUCCUUUGGCUAGCCUGAGGGCCCGCCCUGUAAGCAGGGCUCUGGGCAUGUCCCUUUUGAACCUUGUGGGCAGUCUGGCUGGCCAGACGGGCCGGGCCCUGUAAGGAGGGUGCGAGUCCCGUGUCUCUUGGUGGAGGGCUAAGUUCUGCAGAGCCGUGGACCACCCUGUAAGCAGGGUCCAGGUCUCCAUGUGCCUUUUGGGGACAGCUCUGUCCUUCGGCAGGCUGAGGGCCCUCCCUGUAAGGAAGGCCUCGCCUAUGGGCGAUCUGGCUGGCCAGGCGGGCCGUACCCUGUAAGGAGGGUGCCGGUCUUAGCCGUCUUGCCUCCUGGGAGCGGAGGAGGAUUUUGCAGGGUAAGGCUCGAGGACAAGCAGUUUGCAGCACGGAGCUGCUUUCCGGCCUGGGAACACUCUUCCUUGUCAGAGUGUGGCGAGCGAGAGAGAGGAGCGCCUGGGAAUGAAAACGUUUGUUAUUUUCUUUUUGUUGUUAAAAUCGCUGCAGCGUACUUUAUUUUCUUCCCAGUGCUGGAAAGGGGCGAGAUGUGUCCACAUAGCCUUAUUCUUCCACCUCUGUACCUAGGGGGUUAAGCACCGGCAUAGAUUUCUGUGACUUCUGGCUUCGGGGAGCAUUAGGCCACCCCCCCCCAGUGACCUCCCUGUCUCUCAGGGUACGGGUCUUGGGCCCCUCUUGGGUGGCCAGCACGGUCCUUUGCCCACUUGGUAGCUCACACGAAGACUUCCUGCCAUCCGUCCUGGGGGCAGGCUCUGUAUCCCGUACCCGAGUCCCUGGAGACAAGUGCCCUGGCACUUGGCCAGCCGUUCUCUUGCGCCCCUGGCCCCGGCCUGCAGCCUGUAAGCAGGGUCCAGGUCCCCUUGAUUUUCUGGGUCUUGUUCCAGUGGGUGAGGUUGGCCAGAGACGAUACCCACGGGCUACAGGGAAGGUUGCAGUGCGCUGGCACCCCGAGGCAUCGUGACCUCCCUGUAACUCAGAUCCAGGUCUCUGCUCCUCUGUUCUGCUGCUCCUGGCACUGUUGAGAGGGCCUCUCCCCGCGCCCUGUAAACAGGGCUGCGCCCCCCACCCGCUCUGACCCUGGGGGAGGAGGAGGCUUUGUUUAGUCCUUUGGGCUCUGUGGCUUCAGUGACACGAGGCUGAAGUUGUGGCCCUUACGUCCUCCAGGAAUGGGGCAAUUUUGACCCCUGGUCAAGACCGCCUGAGGUACCUGUCAGCUGGCAUUCAGGUCUUUGCAGGUUUUCUCUGGGCUUCAUGCCCCAGCAGCCAGCUGUGUGCCGGGAGCGCCGCCCUGUAAGCAGGGUUUCUGGUGUUGGCGGUCACCGCUCAUGGUGCCGCCCUAGCAGUUCUGUCCAGAGUCCUGGCCUUCGCACGCAGUUUCUGGCUGGCCCGGAUGUCUGCCUCCCCCAUCUCCGCAGACAGAGGACAGCGGCCGCAGGUCCAGGCCCAAGCAGAGAAAAUGGCAGACCAGCAGCAAUCCACCUACAAGGAGGGAAGAAAACCAUGCCAGCCCAGCAAAGGUGUCGGAAGGAGAAGCCGCAGGCAAGCCGUGACGGGCAAAAAGCCAGCAAAACGGGGUGCGAAGGGAAGGGACUCUGGACAGAAUGAUCUCCCUGUUUUCAGGUCUCAGUCAUGUAUUAGCCACUUUUUGCAUGUGUGAGCCUUUGGGCGAGCUCUCUGUAACUCAGAAAUGGGUCUCAGCCCUUGAAGCCGUUGCACUUCUGCAGCAGUCGGGUGGAAGGUGGACAACCCUGUAAGCAAGGCGUGUGUCGCCGCCGCCUCUUCUCAAGGCCGUGGAUCUGGUUGGUGGUCUUGCGCGUCGCAGCCGCCCUGUAAUCGGGGUCCGGGCCGGCUGGCUGCCAAUGGUGCAGCCUCCUGUAAGCGGGGUGCGUGCUGCCUCCUAACACGUGAGAACAACAGGCAAUUUGACCAUGUGUAGCGCUGGACUUCCUGUAAUUGGGAGUCCAAGUCCCCUGCCAUAGCCAGCCAGCCGGAGAGGUGCCCCUGUAAGCAGGGUGGGCAUAGCCGCCUUCCGCUGGGCUGAGAGACACGGCGCAGUCUGCCGCGUUGUGCAGCAGGAGGGCCUUGCAGACAGGAGCCGGGUCUCGUGGAGUGACAGCAAACUCUUCGCAUCCCAGAGCCUGAUGACCUUCCCGUGGCUGGGUUGAAAUCUGUGGUCUCCUCACCGUUCUCUGAGUCCAGGCAUCUGUCCUUCAUCCUGCAUCUGUGCCUGGUACUCCACAUCCAGACCCCUGGGCCACCCUGUAACGAGGGGGCGAGUCCCAGGCAUCCUGUAGGACGGCCAGGGUCUGCAGAGCUGUGGACCACCCUGUAAGCAAGGUCCAGGUCUCAGUGUGCUUUUGGGGACAGCUCUGUCCUUUGGCUGGCUGUUGGCCCGCCCUGUAAGCAGGGCUCUGGGCAUGUCCCUUUUGAACCUUGUGGGCAGUCUGGCUGGCCAGACGGGCCGGGCCCUGUAAGGAGGGUGCGAGUCCCGUGUCUCUUGGUGGAGGCCUAGGUUCUGCAGAGCUGUGGACCACCCUGUAAGCAGGGUCCAGGUCUCCACGUGCCUUUUGGGGACAGCUCUGUCCUUCGGCAGGCUGAGGGCCCUCCCUGUAAGGAAGGCCUCGCCUAUGGGCGAUCUGGCUGGCCAGGCGGGCCGUACCCUGUAAGGAGGGUGCCGGUCUUAGCCGUCUUGCCUCCUGGGAGCGGAGGAGGAUUUUGCAGGGUAAGGCUCGAGGACAAGCAGUUUGCAGCACGGAGCUGCUUUCCGGCCUGGGAACACUCUUCCUUGUCAGAGUGUGGCGAGCGAGAGAGAGGAGCGCCUGGGAAUGAAAGCGUUUGUUAUUUUCUUUUUGUUGUUAAAAUCGCUGCAGCGUACUUUAUUUUCUUCCCAGUGCUGGAAAGGGGCGAGAUGUGUCCACAUAGCCUUAUUCUUCCACCUCUGUACCUAGGGGGUUAAGCACCGGCAUAGAUUUCUGUGACUUCUGGCUUCGGGGAGCAUUAGGCCACCCCCCCCCAGUGACCUCCCUGUCUCUCAGGGUACGGGUCUUGGGCCCCUCUUGGGUGGCCAGCACGGUCCUUUGCCCACUUGGUAGCUCACACGAAGACUUCCUGCCAUCCGUCCUGGGGGCAGGCUCUGUAUCCCAUACCCGAGUCCCUGGAGACAAGUGCCCUGGCACUUGGCCAGCCGUCCUCCUGCGCCCCUGGCCCCGGCCUGCAGCCUGUAAGCAGGGUCCAGGUCCCCUUGAUUUUCUGGGUCUUGUUCCAGUGGGUGAGGUUGGCCAGAGACGAUACCCACGGGCUACAGGGAAGGUUGCAGUGCACUGGCACCCCGAGGCAUCGUGACCUCCCUGUAACUCGGGUCCAGGUCUCUGCUUCUCUGUUCUGCUGCUCCUGGCACUGUUGAGAGGGCCUCUCCCCGCGCCCUGUAAACAGGGCUGCGCCCCCCACCCGCUCUGACCCUGGGGGAGGAGGCUUUGUUUAGUCCUUUGGGCUCUGUGGCUUUAGUGACACGAGGCUGAAGUUGUGGCCCUUAUGUCCUCCAGGAAUGGGGCAAUUUUGACCCCUGGUCAAGACCGCCUGAGGUACCUGUCAGCUGGCAUUUAGGUUUUUUCAGGUUUUCUCUGGGCUUCAUGCCCCAGCAGCCAGCUGUGUGCCGGGAGCGCCGCCCUGUAAGCAGGGUUUCUGGUGUUGGCGGUCACCGUUCCUGGUGCCGCCCUAGCAGUUCUGUCCAGAGCCCUGGCCUUCGCACGCAGCUUCUGGCUGGCCCGGAUGUCUGCCUCCCCCAUCUCCGCGGACAGAGGACAGCGGCCGCAGGUCCAGGCCCAAGCAGAGAAAGUGGCAGACCAGCAGGAAUCCACCUACAAGGAGGGAAGAAAACCAUGCCAGCCCAGCAAAGGUGUCGGAAGGACAAGCUGCAGGCAAGCCGUGACGGGCAAAAAGCCAGCAAAACUGGGUGCGAAGGGAAGGGACUCUGGACAGAAUGAUCUCCCUGUUUUCAGGUCUCAGUCAUGUAUUAGCCACUUUUUGCAUGUGUGAGCCUUUGGGCGAGCUCUCUGUAACUCAGAAAUGGGUCUCAGCCCUUGAAGCCGUUGCACUUCUGCAGCAGUCGGGUGGAAGGUGGACAACCCUGUAAGCAAGGCGUGUGUCACCGCCGCCUCUUCUAAAGGCCGUGGAUCUGGUUGGUGGUCUUGCGCAUCGCAGCCGCCCUGUAAUCAGGGUCCAGGCCAGCUGGCUGCCAAUGGUGCAGCCUCCUGUACGUGGGGUGCGUGCUGCCUCCUAACACGUGAGAACAACAGGCAAUUUGACUAUGUGUAGCGCUGGACAUCCCGUAAUUGGGAGUCCAAGUCCCCUGCCAUAGCCAGCCAGCCGGAGAGGUGCCCCUGUAAGCAGGGUGGGCAUAGCCGCCUUCCGCUGGGCUGAGAGACACGGCGCAGUCUGCCGCGUUGUGCAGCAGGAGGGCCUUGCAGACAGGAGCCGGGUCUCGUGGAGUGACAGCAAACUCUUCGCAUCCCAGAGCCUGAUGACCUUCCCGUGGCUGGGUUGAAAUCUGUGGUCUCCUCACCGUUCUCUGAGUCCAGGCAUCUGUCCUUCAUCCUGCAUCUGUGCCUGGUACUCCACAUCCAGACCCCUGGGCCACCCUGUAACGAGGGGGCGAGUCCCAGGCAUCCUGUAGGAUGGCUAGGGUCUGCAGAGCUGUGGACCACCCUGUAAGGAGGGUCCAGGUCUCAGUGUGCUUUUGGGGACAGCUCUGUCCUUUUGCUGGCUGUUGGCCCGCCCUGUAAGCAGGGCUCUGGGCAUGUCCCUUUUGAACCUUGUGGGCAGUCUGGCUGGUCAGACGGGCCGGGCCCUGUAACGAGGGUGCAAGUCCCGUGUCUCUUGGUGGAGGGCUAGAUUCUGCAGAGCUGUGGACCACCCUGUAAGCAGGGUCCAGGUCUCCAUGUGCCUUUUGGGGACAGCUCUGUCCUUCGGCUGGCUGAGGGCCCUCCCUGUAAGGAAGGCCUCGCUUAUGGGCGAUCUGGCUGGCCAGGCGGGCCGUACCCUGUAAGGAGGGUGCCGGUCUUAGCCGUCUUGCCUCCUGGGAGUGGAGGAGGAUUUUGCAGGGUAAGGCUCGAGGACAAGCAGUUUGCAGCACGGAGCUGCUUUCCGGCCUGGGAACACUCUUCCUUGUCAGAGUGUGGCGAGCGAGAGAGAGGAGCGCCUGGGAAUGAAAGCGUUUGUUAUUUUCUUUUUGUUGUUAAAAUCGCUGCAGCGUACUUUAUUUUCUUCCCAGUGCUGGAAAGGGGCGAGAUGUGUCCACAUAGCCUUAUUCUUCCACCUCUGUACCUAGGGGGUUAAGCACCGGCAUAGAUUUCUGUGACUUCUGGCUUCGGGGAGCAUUAGGCCACCCCCCCAGUGACCUCCCUGUCUCUCCGGGUACGGGUCUUGGGCCCUUCUUGGGUGGCCAGCACGGUCCUUUGCCCACUUGGUAGCUCACACGAAGACUUCCUGCCAUCCGUCCUGGGGGCAGGCUCUGUAUCCCAUACCCGAGGCCCUGGAGACAAGUGCCCUGGCACUUGGCCAGCCGUUCUCCUGCGCCCCUGGCCCCGGCCUGCAGCCUGUAAGCAGGGUCCAGGUCCCCUUGAUUUUCUGGGUUUUGUUCCAGUGGGUGAGGUUGGCCAGAGAUGAUACCCACGGGCUACAGGGAAGGUUGCAGUGCGCUGGCACCCCGAGGCAUCGUGACCUCCCUGUAACUCGGGUCCAGGUCUCUGCUCCUCUGUUCUGCUGCUCCUGGCACUGUUGAGAGGGCCUCUCCCCGCACCCUGUCAACAGGGCUGCACCCCCCACCCGCUCUGACCCUGGGGGAGGAGGAGGCUUUGUUUAGUCCUUUGGGCUCUGUGGCUUUAGUGACACGAGGCUGAAGUUGUGGCCCUUAUGUCCUCCAGGAAUGGGGCAAUUUUGACCCCUGGUCAAGACUGCCUGAGGUACCUGUCAGCUGGCAUUUAGGUCUUUUCAGGUUUUCUCUGGGCUUCAUGCCCCAGCAGCCAGCUGUGUGCCGGGAGCACCGCCCUGUAAGCAGGGUUUCUGGUGUUGGCGGUCACCGUUCCUGGUGCCGCCCUAGCAGUUCUGUCCAGAGCCCUGGCCUUCGCACGCAGCUUCUGGCUGGCCCGGAUGUCUGCCUCCCCCAUCUCCGCGGACAGAGGACAGCGGCCGCAGGUCCAGGUCCCCGAAGGGCAGCUGGAGAAGAAGGAACGGAACCAGCAGAAGCAAGCUCGGGAACAAGAAGUGUGGGUCGGGGUGGGCAGGAGGAAGGGGAAUGUUUAAUGUCUGCUCAGAGAAGGAGAGAUGGAGGCUGUUGAGUGCAUCUACACUUUCACACCCCCAGGAGGAGCAAGCAGCCACACGCUUCAAGUUGCACCGUGCAUUCAGUCUUGGGUUGGCCCCGAUUGUGUGCAGGGAGGUUGAGGCUUUGUGCUAGUCGGGCAUAUCGAUAUGCAGCAGUCAAGGGUUUUGCAGGUUGUGUGCAAGGAGGCUGAGGCGUUGUGCUAGUUGUAUGUAUUGAUAUGCAGCUGUCACGGGUUUUGCAGGCGGUUUGGCUUUGCCAGUGAAGCGGUGGAUCAGAAUAGGUGUGACUGAAGGCAGCGUGUAGGGCGUUCUUGGUUGGGUUGUUGAGCGGUUCUCGGUGUUAGUGUAGGAACACAGGUUUGUGCUCGGUUCUGUUUGUGGCUUGGCUGUAGCUUGCUUAGGCUGUAGCUUGCAGGGCCAAUUUGAGGCUGUUUAUGGUGCAAUUUGUUUGCGUCUGUAAAUUAAGGCUCUGUGGGUGUUUGAAAGUGUUAAUCUCCAGCUCCACGGGGACGAAGAUUUUGUCCUCUGUCCAAAUGAUCCUCAAGGUAGUUGGCAUGGUCCAUGUCAAACCAGUAGGAAGCAGGUGGGCCUAAGAUGUGCACAGUCAACAAUAAAUGGUCUAAAAACUGUCUACCUUGUGGCUGGUGCUCUUCUACACGGAGAAGAUUUGGUCCUUUUCCUUUCCUACUGAGAUCUGGCUGAAGGAAUAAACUUUUUCAUUCUGUCUGCCGA